Molecule: ribosomal RNA, 440 nt
Filed under: uncultured bacterium
Lineage: Bacteria
Description: partial 16S ribosomal RNA
Rfam family: Bacterial small subunit ribosomal RNA
Source: RNAcentral
CUACGGGGCGCAGCAGUGAGGAAUAUUGCACAAUGGGGGGAACCCUGAUGCAGCAACGCCGCGUGGAGGAUGACGCAUUUCGGUGUGUAAACUCCUUUUAUAUGUCAAGAAAAUGACGGUAGCAUAUGAAUAAGCACCGGCUAACUCCGUGCCAGCAGCCGCGGUAAUACGGAGGGUGCAAGCGUGUACUCGGAAUCACUGGGCGUAAAGGACGCGUAGGCGGGUUGGAAAGUCAGGUGUGAAAUCCUACAGCUUAACUGUAGAACUGCACUUGAAACUUCUAAUCUAGAGUAUGGGAGGGGGAGAUGGAAUUAGUGGUGUAGGGGUAAAAUCCGUAGAUAUCACUAGGAAUACCUAAAGCGAAGGCGAUCGCCUGGAACAUUACUGACGCUAAGGCGUGAAAGCGUGGGGAGCAAACAGGAUUAGAUACCCCCGUAGUC